GUAACUGCGAGUGAAGCGGGAAAAGCUCAAAUUUAAAAUCUGGCAGUCUUUGGCUGUCCGAGUUGUAAUCUAGAGAAGUGUUAUCCGCGCUGGACCGUGUACAAGUCUCCUGGAAUGGAGCGUCAUAGAGGGUGAGAAUCCCGUCUUUGACACGGACUACCAGGGCUUUGUGAUGCGCUCUCAAAGAGUCGAGUUGUUUGGGAAUGCAGCUCAAAAUGGGUGGUAAAUUCCAUCUAAAGCUAAAUAUUGGCGAGAGACCGAUAGCGAACAAGUACCGUGAGGGAAAGAUGAAAAGAACUUUGGAAAGAGAGUUAAACAGUACGUGAAAUUGCUGAAAGGGAAACGCUUGAAGUCAGUCGCGUUAUCCAGGGAUCAGCCUUGCUUUUGCUUGGUGCACUUUCUGGUUGACGGGUCAGCAUCAAUUUUGACCAUUGGAAAAAGAUGAAGGGAAUGUGGCAUCUUCGGAUGUGUUAUAGCCCUUGGUUGUAUACAAUGGUUGGGAUUGAGGAACUCAGCACGCCGCAAGGCCGGGUUUAUACCACGUACGUGCUUAGGAUGCUGGCAUAAUGGCUUUAAUCGACCCGUCUUGAAACACGGACCAAGGAGUCUAACAUACCUGCGAGUGUUUGGGUGGAAAACCCGAGCGCGUAAUGAAAGUGAAAGUUGAGAUCCCUGUCGUGGGGAGCAUCGACGCCCAGACCAGACCUUUUGUGACGGUUCUGCGGUAGAGCAUGUAUGUUGGGACCCGAAAGAUGGUGAACUAUGCCUGAAUAGGGUGAAGCCAGAGGAAACUCUGGUGGAGGCUCGUAGCGAUUCUGACGUGCA
RNAcentral lists this ribosomal RNA (825 nucleotides) under Cortinarius aff. clelandii 2 FS-2012. Its description in RNAcentral is "eukaryotic LSU rRNA". It matches the Rfam family "Eukaryotic large subunit ribosomal RNA", at positions 83 to 895 of the family's 3401-position model. Lineage: Eukaryota; Fungi; Basidiomycota; Agaricomycetes; Agaricales; Cortinariaceae. The record is from RNAcentral.